GUCCAACCGCUCAACCAUCUCUAUCUUAUUUUCUACACGCGUGCUCAGCUCUUAGCAAAUUCUGGGCGUUCUUCUCUCUGUACGCGGCUGCCAGCACACACCGCCGAGUCCGCGUGGCUGCUCAGCCAGUACUGCUCACGCCAGCACAACAGUGAUCAGCCAACACUUAUCCUCAACUCCAACUCGUUCAGCCGGUUCUUCAUCCGUCGUCCACAGGCUUCAGACGUAGCUCGCCAGCUUCGACCUCCGCCCUGCCCUUGACCCCACUCGCCCGUUCUUGUUCCCGACGCUCGAGCUCACCUCAGCUUCGCUGUGCCCCUGCGUUCGGCCUCUUCCCUCCACCAGCGGACGUCCUCGGUCUCGCUUUCCUCGCCGUGGCAAGGCCCCGGCCACGACGUCAUCCCCCUCUAAGCUAGCUGUUGAAGUCGUGCCUCGCAUACGCCUAUUCGAUGAAAUGCCCAAACGUCACGUCCGCUCCUUGUCCCAACACCCUGUCACAAUUCCGUGCGUUGCCGUGUGUGUUUCGGAAGAGAGGAAUCCCAUAUAUGUGAGGACAGGCAAUCCGUGCAAUAGUUGUUUGAUGUUUGGUGUUAUGCGCAAAUCAGAAAUCGUCAUCAUUAUCCCAAAUAUCGAUUUGGUUUGUGAUAUGGUACACUAGCUGAAAAAUCGUGCGAAGCGAAGGGUGUGGAUCAAAACAACCCACAAGACGAUGUCGGCCGAUGAGCCCGAAGAUGGAUGGACUAAGCAGAUGUCAGAACAAAAGUUGAUCGUCAACUGGCCUUCAUUUAACAACACUAACGUAGUGUUAUCCCAGCCCUGCAUCAUCUAGAAGCGUCUUGCGUGGCCUGCCGACCUCGAGACAACCCCUAGAUCUCUCCUCCCCGACGGGGUGGCUCCCGGGAGGUGAGAUUCAGGUUCUUCGUGGAGAAGAAGACCCUCUGCGCCAUCGCGGACCGUUCGAAAGCGAGUAGGAAGGAGCCGCUCCUGCGUUGAGGUCGUGGACCAUCUGGCCUAGGGUCGCGGACCAUCCACACUCCCGCAGACAGCACCGCCAGGCGGUUCACUCUCCGCCAUGUGACUUUGCAAGCAACGAGGCAUGAACCGCCAAUGAAGAGAAGGUGGAGGCGUUGUCAACUGCGAUGCUUGGCUGAACACUCGAGGGCGAGGAGGAGACGCUCUAGAUCCUGAGUUUAGUUUUGUAUUGUUUGUUGCCAAAUAUUUUGUGAGAUAUUAAGUUCAACAAUAAUGUAUGUAUUGAACGUUUUCAUGUAAUCAUUGUACGCUAAUAUUUUAUAGAAAUAUGUAUAUGUCGUCACAUGUAUAUAUUAUACUUUCUCCGAUUCUUUUAUUUGAUGUUUGUUAGUGUAAAUUUGAACUCUCCAACGUCAAAUAAAAAAUCGAGGUGGUUACCUAGAAAACAAUCACAUGACAUAGCAGGCGUGUGAGUUUGAUUGGCUCCAGUACCCUCAGUGUCAAUCGACGUCCGCUGUCCGCAUAGGCCGGCGACCACCGCCUCUUCUCCCGGCGACAAACCUGAAACUACCUAGGGGUGAAAACGGGUCGGGUACCCGAACCGGGUACCGGAUACGGAUACUAAUUCGGGACGUUUUUUCGGAUACGGAUACGGGUACUUUUAUUUCCGGGACGGAUACGGGUAUUACCCGGAUAGAAUCUUAUCGGAUACGGGACGGAUACGGGACGUGCAAUACCCGGUAAAUACCCGACAUCCUCGGGCGGAUACGGGUACCCGGCUCCCGGGUACCCGGUAAUCUUUCUGGCCCAAUAGCUAGCCGGCCCAAUCCACCUAAAAGCUGAAGGCUCCAGGAACCGACGCUGGGUCGCUGGUCUACGGCCUAACCUUGGGUCCCUGGCGGCCUGGCCCUUGCCGCUUGCCUCCAGUCACCAGCACAGCACAGCACGCCGCGCCGCCAGGUCGCCAGUACCAGGCCCCAGCCCCCAGCCGCGUGAGGCGCCGCGCCGCCGCCAGAGGCCAGACCGAGCGGCGAGCCGGUGAGCGCCCGUCCGUCCGCGACCGCGUCCGCCCGAGCGGACCUGUACAAGCAGCCAAGCAGUAAGCACCUCACCGAGCACUCGAGCAGCGUCCAUCGGCCUCACCGAGCGCAGAUCUCCCUCACCGAGCGCUCCAUCGCCCAUCGGCCUCAUCACCUCUUCUCCAGCGACCAGCGGCCUCGAGCAGCGUCCGGCGCGUCCGCCCGUGCAGCGUCCACCGUCUAGGCCGGUGUCCACCGUUCAGGCCGUCCGUCCGAGCAGCGUCCUCCCUCGCCCGAGCAGCUAAUUCACCGAGCAGCGUCCUCCCUCGCCCGAGCAGCGUCCACCGUCCAGGCCGUCCGUCCGAGGCUCCCAGCGACCAAGAUUCAGUCUACUGCUCCAGGCGCCGCCAUCGUCGCACCGACCCCUGCCUCCAGCUCUAGGCGCCGUCGACCCCUGCAUCCAAGAAUGCAGCAGCCCCACACCGGCGUAUCAGGCCCCAACAGCGGGCACUCCUCGGCGGCCACCAUCGUUGGCUCGUCGUCGGCGGCUCGUCAGCAGCAGCAAGACGCACCUGACGGCCGAACCCUCGAUCCGUGGCCCCGUCGUGCAGCCCCUCACCCUUGGUAAUGUUGUUGACGAUGACAUACCACUUAGUAUGAUUUACCAACUAUUAGUAACUUUGCUCAUAUAAUGACAGCGCCAUGGAUGUCGAUGAUAUUUGUGGCAUUGACAACAAUGUGUCCCAUGAAGAUGAAAUACAUGAUACCGGGGAGGAUGUUAAUGCUAACAACAGUGAACGUCCUGAGCCUAUUGGUAGUAAGGUGAAUGUCCUGAGCCAACAAGUUAGUCGUGGAAAAAACAAGUCUGUCGAUGAAGACCAUCGUGCAGUGAGGGCCAGAAUUGGAAAAAACAAGUGUCAGAAUUGGAUCUAUACAUGAGUGAGGGCCUAGUGAAGGCUAAUGAAAGUGAUGCACCAUUUAAUGCCUUAUCAUGGUGGAAGGGUCAAGUGACAAAUUUCCCUAUUCUUUCUACCCUUGCUCGUGAUGUACUAUCAAUGCAGGUGUCAACUGUUGCUUCAGAGUCGGCAUUUAGCUCUGGUGGACGCGUGGUUGAUGCCUUUCGUUCGAAGCUUAAACCUGAAAUUAUUGAAGCCUUGGUUUGUACUAAGGAUUGGAAGAUUGCUUCAGAGAAAGAUUUGGAGUGUGAAAUAAAAACUAUAGCUGAAGCUAUGAAUGCUAUGGAGGUGGACGAUGAUGUUGCGACUUGAGAUCUUCAAACAAGCAUGGAUUGCUUGCACUAUUUUAUGCCAUUUGAAAACUACCUUUUAUUGUAAUAGUCUAUUGUGUUGAACUAUCUUGUGCUAUGUUAGACUCUUGUGUGAUGUGAACUUAUCGCUAUUAUAUUUGAACUAUUGUGUUAGACUAUUGUAUGCUAUGAACUUAUUGUUAUAUUGUCUUGUUGAUCUAUGGUCUAUGUAA
Long non-coding RNA from Zea mays, 3470 nucleotides. RefSeq lists it as uncharacterized. The transcript has 6 exons. Lineage: Eukaryota; Viridiplantae; Streptophyta; Magnoliopsida; Poales; Poaceae. The record is from RefSeq and is a predicted model, not a curated record.